UGUGUUUUUUUGGUGUGUACAGAUGGUAUGUUGCUAACGAAGGCAAAAACAAGAUGCAGUUUGCUGCAUAUAGAAAACGGAGAUUAAUUUGGUUCUCGCUAAAUGAAUCAAAGAUCAUAAGACUAGAACCAAUGGUUUCCAAAAAAGGACUUUAUCUACCGUUUACAAGUCAACCCCAUAAUACCAAAGUACAAGAGAAGCAAAGAUU
Long non-coding RNA from Pyrus x bretschneideri (Chinese white pear), 208 nucleotides. RefSeq lists it as uncharacterized. The transcript is spliced from 3 exons. Lineage: Eukaryota; Viridiplantae; Streptophyta; Magnoliopsida; Rosales; Rosaceae. The record is from RefSeq and is a predicted model, not a curated record.